AUUGAGAGCGCCGACUCUAUACAGUAUUAAAGAGUCCACGUUGCUCGAAAGUGCUUAAUAUACUACAGCCAGCGCGUUGCCUAGGUAACGCUCAGCCGUUGGACGAUACUGUGUAAUUAACAAAGUUGAAAAACUAAGGUCACGAUGAAGGUGACUCUGCUGUUUCUAUCCGUUGCGUUCGCAGGAGUCCUGUGCAAGUGCCCGUACCAGACGUCGGAAAACGGCCACCGCGCAAUCCCGCCCUCGGCAAACUGCAUCGUAAACCGGAUGCUGGCGCCGGUAUGUGGGGACGACGGAUGCUGGUACACCAACAAGGACUUCAUGGAAUGCGUCAACAUGGAGCUCAGGGACGCUGGAAAGCCUGAAGUGAAAGAAACGGACAGAGCCAGAUGCGAUACAACCUCCGACCAAGUGAAUCCAACACCUGCGCCACCGGUACCAGUGACCCUGAAUGGAAACAACAAUCUAAACAACAAUCUAAACAACAAUCAAAACAACAAUCAAAACAGCAGUAGCAACAGCACCAACAACGGCAGAAUCGAGCUUCUUAAUACUGGCAAAAAAUAAAUAAAUCCACGUAAAUAAAAAAUAAAAAAAACCUUCGAAACAAAAUUUUUCUGGUAUUUCUAACUUUCGCACCAACAAAAGCGAAACCGUUCCAUCCAUCAAGUAUGUCAUGAAAUAAAACUGGUUCAUAUGUUAUAUAUUUUUUGCGGUCCUCAGCUUUUUAAGUUUUAUGUGGUACUGAUUACCCGUCUUACAAGAAAUUAGAGACUGCUUAAUUUGUAGCCCAGUUUUCUUGAGCUUACUCCAAAAAGUUUGUGUGUUCCUGAUUUUAUUCGUAUCCUUAGACAAGAUAGCACAAUUAGGUGUUAUUUUCUACACGGAAAUAUGCGAUUACUUAGGUUAUUCCGGCCAGUAACUGGACAUUAAUUCUCGUCAACGAAAAUCAAGAUUACUGUUCGUCUUAUUUCACCAUUUUUGAAAUUACAAACCCCAAACCAAAAAUUCUUUAUCAGAAGACGUCAAAAAUGUGUUACUAAAUAAAGAUUAUGACCAAAUUGAAGGCAUUUUCAUAAAAAAGAAAGUUGUGAUGUAUUGCUGUUGCUGAAUUUAUUUAUAUUUUUAUGUAAAAAUAAUCUCUGGCAGUAUUAUCGAAAUCUGCAUUUGAUAGUUAUUGUAUUAUAUGUUGACGAUAUGCUUUAUGCUUAUUAUCGUUCUUUAAGAACGGACCUUUCAAAGAUCACCCAUAAUUUACUUAUAAAACGAAUCGGAAACAAAUAUAAUGUAUCAAAAAUAAAUAGUAAACAAUGUGGAUGGUAAAAGGAAAUUUGUCAGCCUACGAACAUCGAAAAAAAUAAAAUUGGAAGUGAAAGAAAAGGAAA
Macrobrachium nipponense is the source of this 1385-nucleotide long non-coding RNA. RefSeq lists it as uncharacterized. The transcript is spliced from 4 exons. Lineage: Eukaryota; Metazoa; Arthropoda; Malacostraca; Decapoda; Palaemonidae. The record is from RefSeq and is a predicted model, not a curated record.